AUGGAGAACAGCGACAGGGCCAGGGUACAUUUAUGUUUCAUGAUCUGUUCUGUAGAUUUUCAGAACACUGAGUGCAUAUCUUGCCUUGCAAUGCUGCUGAUUCGACAAUUGAACUGGAUUCAAACUGGACUUGCGACCAGAGCAACCCCAAGCAAGAUGAACUUGAUUGGAAGAUGUCUUCUAAACUCUGAAGGCAAGCACUCGGUCGACACUUUUGCUCCUGUAGAAGGCAUGCCAUUUGAUUCAUGCCAAGAAGCGUUAAGAGGGACAAUGAUAAUUCUUCUUCGUGCAAAAUAG
Molecule: ribosomal RNA, 297 nt
Filed under: Triticum aestivum (bread wheat)
Lineage: Eukaryota; Viridiplantae; Streptophyta; Magnoliopsida; Poales; Poaceae
Description: partial small subunit ribosomal RNA
Source: RNAcentral